UCUCAGACACAGAAUGUUGAUCCUGCCCUGUGCUUUACUUUGUCCUGGCUUCUGCCUGUACUGGUUUCUCGUCAUUACUCUAGCGAUCUGCACCUCUGACUCUCUCUGUUCAGCCUCUGCCAAAGUGACCUGCUGCCAGUCAUCUUUCAUCUUCCUCGAGCCCAGCCAUCUCCACUCUACCCCACCUGAGUUCGCUGGCUAUAAUCACCUGUCUCAGCUUAUCUUCGGUUCCUCCAUCUGCCCUGCAUUGCCACCUCUAGCUCCCCAUCUGUGGACCCCUCGAACUCUGCCUCCUCUGGCGGACAUUUCCAGCAUAUUGACUGUUAUCUCUAUAACUUGUUUUCUCAGUGCAGUAAAAUUUGUGAUCAGUAUCACACCUGCCAUCUGGGUCCAGCCUGUUCGCUGAUUCGCUUCUGCGAGUGCUGACCAUAACACAGUUGCAUAUCAUGUCUGUGAUUCCACGCUGCCUCUGAACAGUGUACAGGUCCUCCAUGGAGGGCAGGCUCAC
Long non-coding RNA from Monopterus albus (swamp eel), 508 nucleotides. RefSeq lists it as uncharacterized. Lineage: Eukaryota; Metazoa; Chordata; Actinopteri; Synbranchiformes; Synbranchidae. The record is from RefSeq and is a predicted model, not a curated record. The transcript is spliced from 4 exons.